CAGCCGCCGCGGGAACACGUAGGUGGCAAGCGUUGUCCGGAAUUAUUGGGCGUAAAGGGCUCGCAGGCGGUUUCUUAAGUCUGAUGUGAAAGCCCCCGGCUCAACCGGGGAGGGUCAUUGGAAACUGGGAAACUUGAGUGCAGAAGAGGAGGGUGGAAUUCCACGUGUAGCGGUGAAAUGCGUAGAGAUGUGGAGGAACACCAGUGGCGAAGGCGACUCUCUGGUCUGUAACUGACGCUGAGGAGCGAAAGCGUGGGGAGCGAACAGGAUUAGAUACCCCAGUAGUCCCUGUCUCUUAUAC
RNAcentral lists this ribosomal RNA (301 nucleotides) under uncultured bacterium. RNAcentral describes it as "partial 16S ribosomal RNA". It matches the Rfam family "Bacterial small subunit ribosomal RNA", at positions 509 to 807 of the family's 1533-position model. The record is from RNAcentral.